AUGCAAGACUGCUUCGCGGAGAAUCUAACGUAUCCACCGUACCUCUUCCGGAGAAGGUACCGAAUGCACCGAUCCCUCUUUGUAAAAAUUGUUCAAGCUUGCGAGGCAAAUUGCCGGUAUUUUACUCAAAGAAGAAAUGAUGCGGGCUUAAAGGGAUUUAGUGCAUAUCAAAAAAUCUCUGCGGCAAUGCGGGUGAUUGCAUAUGGUGUUCCGGCUGACUAUGCCGAUGAGUACCUUCGUAUUGGUGAAGAUACAACAAUUGAGUCUGUGCGUAGAUUUGUAAAAGGUGAUCAUCCGUGUCUUUGGUCUUGA
This 312-nucleotide ribosomal RNA is filed under the name Triticum aestivum (bread wheat). RNAcentral's name for it is "partial small subunit ribosomal RNA". Lineage: Eukaryota; Viridiplantae; Streptophyta; Magnoliopsida; Poales; Poaceae. The record is from RNAcentral.